GAGUUUGAUCGUGGCUCAGAUUGAACGCUGGCGGCAGGCUUAACACAUGCAAGUCGAGCGGGGGAGAUUGCUUCGGUAAUUGACCUAGCGGCGGACGGGUGAGUAAUACUUAGGAAUCUGCCUAUUAAUGGGGGACAACAUCUCGAAAGGGAUGCUAAUACCGCAUACGCCCUACGGGGAAAGCAGGGGAUCACUUGUGACCUUGCGUUAAUAGAUGAGCCUAAGUCGGAUUAGCUAGUUGGUGGGGUAAAGGCCUACCAAGGCGACGAUCUGUAGCGGGUCUGAGAGGAUGAUCCGCCACACUGGGACUGAGACACGGCCCAGACUCCUACGGGAGGCAGCAGUGGGGAAUAUUGGACAAUGGGGGGAACCCUGAUCCAGCCAUGCCGCGUGUGUGAAGAAGGCCUUAUGGUUGUAAAGCACUUUAAGCGAGGAGGAGGCUCCUGUAGUUAAUACCUACAGAGAGUGGACGUUACCCGCAGAAUAAGCACCGGCUAACUCUGUGCCAGCAGCCGCGGU
This 519-nucleotide ribosomal RNA is filed under the name uncultured microorganism. RNAcentral's name for it is "bacterial SSU rRNA". It matches the Rfam family "Bacterial small subunit ribosomal RNA", at positions 9 to 521 of the family's 1533-position model. The record is from RNAcentral.